RNAcentral lists this ribosomal RNA (429 nucleotides) under uncultured bacterium. RNAcentral's name for it is "bacterial SSU rRNA". It matches the Rfam family "Bacterial small subunit ribosomal RNA", at positions 355 to 776 of the family's 1533-position model. The record is from RNAcentral.
UGGGGAAUUUUGCGCAAUGGGCGAAAGCCUGACGCAGCAACGCCGCGUGGGUGAUGAAGGUCUUCGGAUCGUAAAACCCUGUCGUCAGGGACGAAGGUUGCAGGGGUAAUAUCCGUGCAACUUGACGGUACCUGGAGAGGAAGCCCCGGCUAACUCUGUGCCAGCAGCCGCGGUAAUACAGAGGGGGCAAGCGUUAUUCGGAAUUAUUGGGCGUAAAGGGCGCGUAGGCGGUGAUUUAAGUGAGAUGUGUAAUCCCCGAGCUUAACUUGGGAACUGCAUCUCAGACUGGGUCGCUAGAGUGCUGGAGAGGGUGGUAGAAUUCCACGUGUAGCGGUGAAAUGCGUAGAGAUGUGGAGGAAUACCAGUGGCGAAGGCGGCCACCUGGACAGUAACUGACGCUGAGGCGCGAAAGUGUGGGUAGCAAACAGG